AAGCAUAUCAAUAAGCGGAGGAAAAGAAACUAACAAGGAUUCCCCUAGUAACGGCGAGUGAAGCGGGAAGAGCUCAAAUUUGUAAUCUGGCACUUUCAGUGUCCGAGUUGUAAUCUCUAGAAGUGUUUUCCGUGCCAUAUCGCAUAUAAGUCUGUUGGAACACAGCGUCACAGUGGUGAGAACCCCGUAUUUGAUGCGAAUGUUGGUGCUCUGUGAUACACUUUCAAAGAGUCGAGUUGUUUGGGAAUGCAGCUCAAAAUGGGUGGUAAAUUCCAUCUAAAGCUAAAUAUUGGCGAGAGACCGAUAGCGAACAAGUACCGUGAGGGAAAGAUGAAAAGCACUUUGGAAAGAGAGUUAAAAGUACGUGAAAUUGUUGGAAGGGAAACGCUUGCAGUCAGACUUGCUUUGUGGAGCUCGCUUCAUUUGGCAGGCCAGCAUCAGUUUUCGUUGGUACAAAAGGGUAGGGAGAACGUGGCAGCUCCGGCUGUGUUAUAGCUCCUUACUGGAUGUAUCUCUGGGGACUGAGGAACGCAGUGUGCUUUUUGCGCAGGUCUCGACCUGUUCACACUUAGGAUGCUGGUAGAAUGGCUGUAAACGACCCGUCUUGAAACACGGACCAAGGAGUCUAACAUGUUUGCGAGUAUUUGGGUGUCAAACCCGGAUGCGUAAUGAAAGUGAAUGUAGGAGGGAUCCGCAAGGUGCACCUUCGACCGAUCUGGAUUUUUUAAGAUGGAUUUGAGUAAGAGCAAUUAUGUUGGGACCCGAAAGAUGGUGAACUAUGCCUGAAUAGGGCGAAGCCAGAGGAAACUCUGGUGGAGGCUCGUAGCGGUUCUGACGUGCAAAUCGAUCGUCAAAUUUGGGUAUAGGGGCGAAAGACUAAUCGAACCAUCUAGUAGCUGGUUCCUGCCGA
Molecule: ribosomal RNA, 910 nt
Filed under: Vonarxula javanica
Lineage: Eukaryota; Fungi; Basidiomycota; Microbotryomycetes; Chrysozymaceae
Description: LSU rRNA
Rfam family: Eukaryotic large subunit ribosomal RNA
Source: RNAcentral